AAAGGGAGCGUAGGCGGCUGAUUAAGUCAGCGGUGAAAGGUAGCAGCUUAACUGUUUUACAUGCCGUUGAUACUGGUUAGCUUGAGUUGACAGAAGGCAGAUAGAAUUCCUGGUGUAGCGGUGAAAUGCUUAGAUACCAGGAGGAAUACCGAUUGCGAAGGCAGUCUGCUGCAGUCACACUGACGCUGAGGCUCGAAGGUGCGGGGAUCAAACAGGAUUAGAUACCCUAU
Molecule: ribosomal RNA, 230 nt
Filed under: uncultured bacterium
Lineage: Bacteria
Description: partial 16S ribosomal RNA
Rfam family: Bacterial small subunit ribosomal RNA
Source: RNAcentral